This 825-nucleotide ribosomal RNA is filed under the name uncultured soil archaeon. RNAcentral describes it as "bacterial SSU rRNA". It matches the Rfam family "Archaeal small subunit ribosomal RNA", at positions 21 to 853 of the family's 1478-position model. The record is from RNAcentral.
ACCUGACUGCUAUCGGAUUGGUACUAAGCCAUGCGAGUCAUUGUAGCAAUACAAGGCGGACGGCUCAGUAACACGUAGUCAACCUAACUCGUGGACGUGGAUAACCUCGGGAAGCUGAGAAUAAACCACGAUAGAUCAUAGUGCCUGGAAUGGCUUAUGGUCCAAACAGUUUACUGCCAUGGGAUGGGACUGCGGCCUAUCAGCUUGUUGGUGAGGUAAUGGCCCACCAAGGCGAUUACAGGUACGGGCUCUGAGAGGAGAAGCCCGGAGAUGGGUACUGAGACACGGACCCAGGCCCUAUGGGGCGCAGCAGGCGAGAAACCUUAGCAAUGUGCGAAAGCACGACUGGGUCAGUCCGAGUGAUUCCUGAUAAAGGAGUCUUUUGCCUGUCCUAAAAGCACAGGUGAAUAAGGGGUGGGCAAGUCUGGUGUCAGCCGCCGCGGUAAUACCAGCACCUCGAGUGGUCAGGACGUUUAUUGGGCCUAAAGCAUCCGUAGCCGGCUCUGCAAGUCUUCGGUUAAAUCCACCUGCUCAACAGAUGGGCCGCUGGAGAUACUACAGAGCUAGGGAGUGGGAGAGGCAGACGGUAUUCAGUGGGUAGGGGUAAAAUCCUCUGAUCCAUUGAGGACCACCAGUGGCGAAGGCGGUCUGCCAGAACACGUUCGACGGUGAGGGAUGAAAGCUGGGGGAGCAAACCGGAUUAGAUACCCGGGUAGUCCCAGCUGUAAACGAUGCAAACUCGGUGAUGCAUUGGCUUAUGGCCAAUGCAGUGCCGCAGGGAAGCCGUUAAGUUUGCCGCCUGGGAAGUACGGACGCAAGUCUGAA